GUCCUUGUGCACCUCAGAAUAUUGAAGUGCAGUACAGCCUGUCUAUUGGCCAGCUGUCAUGGGACAGAAGUACAGGUGCUUCCAUGUACACGGCGCAGGCUGCCACUGAUCUGGGAUCAGUGCUGUCCUGCUCCACCAGUGACACCUCCUGUGCCCUUUAUAAUGUGUCCUGCAGUCAGACAUAUGACAUCACUGUGACAGCACACAACAAUGUCUGCCGAGGAGCUGCUGUGUCUGCAUCAACUACUCUAAACACAGAACCCUGCCCGCCACAGAACGUGCAAACCCAUCUGAAUUGCGCAAGUGAUGUAGGGACUGUGUCUUGGGAGGAGAGUUUGGGGGCAGUGGCAUAUGUGGCUUUCCUGGAGGGUCGCAAUGGACACAGCCUGUCCUGCUCCACAACUAGCUCCAGCUGCAGUGUGACGGGGUUGAUCUGUGGAACGCUUUACAGCACUCAAGUACGCGCCAUUGGAGAAACUUACAACAGCACAGACAGCGAAACAGUUCUCUUCACAUCAGGUUAGGCAUCUAAGAAAUGACAAAUUAGGAACCAUUUACAUUCUUUGGCAUGACAACAGGAAUUUGUUGCUCUCAUGUUUAAAUAACAGAGAAUUGUGCCGUCUGCUAAGUUGUUCGUCACUGCUGUGUCUUUGUGUCUAGCCCCCUGUCUACCAGAUUCCAGUUCAGUCACUGUUGACAUGAACUGUGAGAAUGCCACGGCAUUGUUCAGGUGGGCCUGGAGUGGCGGAGCUGCAUCCUAUGAGCUCACUGUUAUCAGUGACAAUGGCUACAUAGCCUCCUGCAUUUCCCAAGAGAAUUUCUGUAAUAUCAGCGAACUAGCCUGCGGACAGACUUACACAGUCAGGCUCACAGCAAUCAGUGAUGAAUGUCAGGUUACUCAGGAGACGGGAGUGACCUUCCAAACACGCCCCUGUGCUCCAUUGCAUGUGAACGUGGAUCUUCAGUGCAAUCCUAGCACAGCUGUAGUGACUUGGGAAGAAAGGGACGAUGUGCUAUACUAUCUUGUCAGUGCCAACCUCAGCACAGGAGAAGCAGAUAAAGUUUGUAACUCUACAACUGACAGCUGUGAAAUGAGUGGGUUGCAGUGUGGAGUGGAGUACGCCUUUACCAUCACUGCCUACAGUAGGCACUGCCAUAGUGACGCCAGCAGCACUGCACACAUUACAACAGAACCUUGUCAACCAAGUCAGCCGGCAGUUAUAGGAUCAUGUGAUAACAACACAGUUCUCUUGAACUGGAGUCACAGCAGAGGUGCAUCAAGUUACACAGUGCAUAUAACAAGCAACCUAGGAUUCGCAGACUCCUUCCAGACAUCUGAAUCUACGCUAACAGUGGAGCUUCUCUGCGGACAGACCUACACCUUCACAACACUGGGGGAAAAUGAUGUCUGUGAAAGCAUACCUAGCAAUCCUGCGCAUUUUACGACUGGUACGACCCAACACUCAUAAAAGCUGUAAUGAAAGGCCAAACUCACAAGUGAUAAAGUUGCUAAAGAAAAGACUUUUAGGUGUUUAUACAACAUUUGUAUCAAUCACUGAUUUUUUUCUGUAGCCCCAUGUGUGCCAUACCACAUUGAGACCUAUGCAGAGUGUGAAAAUAACCUUGGAGCUGUCAGCUGGGCUGGCAGUGAUGGCGCAGAUUUUUUCACCGCCAUUGCUGUAGGACAGGAUGGCCACACGCACGUCUGCCUAACAAAUACAACUUUCUGUGUCUGGGAGGAACUGCACUGUGGAGAAAUUUACUUUGUCCAAGUCACUGCCAAUGCCCAAAUCUGCAACAGUGGGUCCAGUGAUGGCACAGUCAUACACAUGGGUGAGUGUCUAAGAAAAAUGAAGGUAGAGUUAUAUGUAAGACAACAAUACUUGAAACUACUUUGCAGUUCUAUAGUUGUAAAGUGACUAUAUGCUUACAAAAGUGUUUUUUGGUAAUCUGUCAAAUGGCUGAUCGAGAUUGCCUGUAUUGUGUACAGCUCCAUGUGUCCCUCAAGAACUGGUGUCCUCUUUCGACUGUGACAUGAGAGUGGCUUCCCUCACCUGGGAAGCAAGUGAAAAUGCUGAGAUGUACCUGGUGUCUGCAGAAUCUGAUAGCGGUCACCGGGUGGAACUCUCAACAAAUGCCACAAGUGCACAAUUCUCUGAGUUCAACUGUGGUCAGCCGUACUAUCUGACUGUGCAAGCUGUGGGAAAUGUAUGUAGAAGCCACCCCAGUAAUGCUUCAGUAUUGCAGACAGGUUAGGACCCUCUCUCUCAUACACAAAGAUAUGAUGUCAAAAGAAGUGCAUAACUCAAAAGGACUUUCAAAAGGACAGCACAGGCUUGGCAUAACACUGUCCCACUUGUUGAAUGACUUGGAUUAUGUAAUUCUGUCUUCUUGCAGAGCCCUGUACUCCAGCAGCUGUCGUUGGCUUUAUGGACUGCAUCUCCAACAUUGCUACUGUAUCCUGGGUGU
Cyprinus carpio (common carp) is the source of this 2469-nucleotide long non-coding RNA. The record is from Ensembl. Lineage: Eukaryota; Metazoa; Chordata; Actinopteri; Cypriniformes; Cyprinidae.